AGUGAUGAAGGCUUUCGGGUCGUAAAACUCUGUUGUUAGGGAAGAACAAGUGCUAGUUGAAUAAGCUGGCACCUUGACGGUACCUAACCAGAAAGCCACGGCUAACUACGUGCCAGCAGCCGCGGUAAUACGUAGGUGGCAAGCGUUAUCCGGAAUUAUUGGGCGUAAAGCGCGCGCAGGUGGUUUCUUAAGUCUGAUGUGAAAGCCCACGGCUCAACCGUGGAGGGUCAUUGGAAACUGGGAGACUUGAGUGCAGAAGAGGAAAGUGGAAUUCCAUGUGUAGCGGUGAAAUGCGUAGAGAUAUGGAGGAACACCAGUGGCGAAGGCGACUUUCUGGUCUGUAACUGACACUGAGGCGCGAAAGCGUGGGGAGCAAACAGGAU
This 383-nucleotide ribosomal RNA is filed under the name Bacillus cereus. Its description in RNAcentral is "bacterial SSU rRNA". It matches the Rfam family "Bacterial small subunit ribosomal RNA", at positions 404 to 778 of the family's 1533-position model. Lineage: Bacteria; Bacillati; Bacillota; Bacilli; Caryophanales; Bacillaceae. The record is from RNAcentral.